Sander lucioperca (pikeperch) is the source of this 293-nucleotide long non-coding RNA. RefSeq lists it as uncharacterized. The record is from RefSeq and is a predicted model, not a curated record. The transcript has 3 exons. Lineage: Eukaryota; Metazoa; Chordata; Actinopteri; Perciformes; Percidae.
CCCAAGUUAAACACAAACUGUUAAACUGAGCGGAGGAUGUGCGGAAUGUGUCGGUGUGUGUCGGAACCUGGCUGGCCGCUCGGCGCCUUCAGACAAAGCUCAAGCUAAGAGGCUAACAGCUUAUUAGCUAGCCAAACACCGAGCGGUAAUAUCUGCAAAUAUUGGAUCUGUGAGCACAUUAAUCUGCUCGGUGUGCGUCUUAUAACAAACAGAGCGAGCAGCCGCGGGACUUUAACAUCUGUUGAUCCGUGCAGGACUUCACUGUGAGCGGACUGUUUAGAGACAAAGUGACC